CGGAGUUCCUGUGUGGGGGAAGCUUCCAGGUGUCCUAUGUGGGAGCAGUGUAGUGAUUUCUGCUUGGGUGGGUGGCAGAAAGUUUUGCACCCGUGUUGAUGGUCCUGCUUAGGUACCUGGUAGUCCUGUGUGGGCAAAUAGUUGGGAGACCUACUCUGACACUGAGGUCUGGAGCCCUGGAUGGACACGGUGGACGUGAUUCUCACAUGGGAGCAUGAAUAUCACUCACAGAGAAGCAGUAUUCUCACUACUUGAGUCCCAGGUCACAGAGCGACACAGAAUGCUGCCUCCCUCUGGCCCGCCAUCUUGGAUCCUAUUUUUCAUUUUGAUAACAGCAAAAGAAUGAUACUUUUGCAUACUGUGUAAGCACUGCUUAUACUUAAUAAAAAUCCAUUUCUUUUCAUAGUUUUCUUAAAGGAAAGAAAAGACCUUUGUAUCUUAAUUUCUCUCCUUACCCCUCAUUUUACAACCUGUUAUCUCUAAACAAAGAAAUGAUGAAUGAGUUCCCUUCAGAAUACUUCUUGGAAGCUGAUGUCUAUAAAAUAGCAAGGUUCUGGGAGAGAAGUAUAACCAAAUCUAAGGAAGUUUAAUGGCCAAUAUAUAAAAAUAACAAAGCAGUUCUUGGAUUGCAAGUGGCUACCUUAGUAAUGAGUAUUAUUACCCAACAAUAUUCAGUUGGUUUAAAAUGACUAGUCUUUGGGGCGUAUUACCCAAGUGAUUUAAAAGUUGAUAAAUUAUUGCAAGGUUUUUACCUGUUGUUCUGGUUUGAAAGUUUUUGUCCUCUGUAAAAUUUAUGUUUUGGAAGCUUAAUCCCCAGUGAUGUUGGGAAGCCUAAUGGGAGAUGUUUAGGUCCUGAGACUGUCACUAUAAAAAGGAUUUGCAGUAAUAGAUAGGUUCCCUCUCUCGUCUUUUGGCAUGCAAGGAUGCAGCAAGAAGGCCCUCACCAGAACAGUUGCUGACACCUUGAUCUUAGACUUUCUAGAAUCCAAAACUGUGAGAAACAAAUAUCUGUUCUUUGUAAAUUAUCUAGUUUCCAUUAUUUUGUUAUAGCAGCACACAAUUAACUAUGAUACUUAUGAUUUUAUUUUAACAAUAUAGUUUGGUGACAGACAUGGAGAGGCCAAUACUAUUGAAAGAAGUUUUAUUGCUAACAUAUACUAAGAGAAGAGGGCAUAUCAUUCCAUGGGAAAGUAUGUCCUGGAGACUUUGUUGUAGUUUUCCAGUGAAGAAUGGGUGAGGCAAAAGAGGCCAGUUUGAGGAAGUAUAGGAUUGGACAGUUCAAAUAAUUUUAGCUGGCUUUGGGUUGUAAGGGUGGUGUCUGGUCAUUUGACACCUAGCCCUUAUAUGAUUCAGAAAAGGAAAAAUGUUGCCCUGCUGUAUCAGAAUUAAAU
RNAcentral lists this long non-coding RNA (1391 nucleotides) under Marmota monax (woodchuck). The record is from RNAcentral. Lineage: Eukaryota; Metazoa; Chordata; Mammalia; Rodentia; Sciuridae.